CAAGCCCUUCAGGUGACUCUGAUGUCACAGAGAGCUUGACAUCACUGUUUUGAAAGAAGACCUGGCUCAGUGGAAUAGUGAGACAAGUCUCACAAGACUACAAAAUAAGUAUGGGGGAGUCUGGCCCAAAAAAGACAAACCCAGUCAGCACUGACUGUCUUCUGCUCAAUGUGGGGGUGAAAGAGCGAGAAUGUGGUGAUGGAGAUCAGUGACGUUUCAGCUCUAAGAGGAACAUGGGAAAUCGGAACAGCUGCUGCUCCAAGGGGCAAGCAUCGGUGACUGUACGCUGUCACUUCGCAAAGAUCAGAGAACCUUGUGGAUCCACCUACCUUUUAAUUUACCACUGGCUAUGACAUACCAGCUCUUCUGUGGGACUUGGAGUCCUGUCCUCUCUCCCUUCAUACAUUCGCCCGGUAAGUGUCCUUGCCGUUCACACCAGCUCCUUCUCCUCCUCUAUGAAAAUAUGUUACCACCGAAUCUCAAAGAGGCCACUUCCACCCGUUGCUACAUCUUACUCUUUCCUUAAUGAUGACACUUCUGAAUUGAAUGUUGACAGGUGGAAUUGGGAAUGGCAUCUGCCACUUUUAUCUCAGAUCACUAACCAAACUUUCAUCUUUCAUCUCGGGUCCUUAAGAUUACCCUCAUCAGGUACAUCAGCUCCCUCACUGUGCCAAAUCUAAUCAUCAGGCAGUUA
This is a non-coding RNA of Peromyscus maniculatus bairdii (prairie deer mouse), 694 nucleotides long. Lineage: Eukaryota; Metazoa; Chordata; Mammalia; Rodentia; Cricetidae. The record is from RefSeq and is a predicted model, not a curated record.